AGAGACAGCAGUCGCCGCGGUAAUACAGAGGGUGCAAGCGUUAAUCGGAAUUACUGGGCGUAAAGCGCGCGUAGGUGGUUUGUUAAGUUGGAUGUGAAAUCCCCGGGCUCAACCUGGGAACUGCAUCCAAAACUGGCAAGCUAGAGUAUGGUAGAGGGUGGUGGAAUUUCCUGUGUAGCGGUGAAAUGCGUAGAUAUAGGAAGGAACACCAGUGGCGAAGGCGACCACCUGGACUGAUACUGACACUGAGGUGCGAAAGCGUGGGGAGCAAACAGGAUUAGAUACCCCUGUAGUCCCUGUCUCUUAUAC
This 309-nucleotide ribosomal RNA is filed under the name uncultured bacterium. RNAcentral's name for it is "partial 16S ribosomal RNA". It matches the Rfam family "Bacterial small subunit ribosomal RNA", at positions 504 to 807 of the family's 1533-position model. The record is from RNAcentral.